GGAUUGUGGCUCAGCGGUAGAACGCUCACCUAUCACGUGUGAGGCCCUCUGUUCGAUCCUCAGCACCA
Molecule: transfer RNA, 68 nt
Filed under: Marmota monax (woodchuck)
Lineage: Eukaryota; Metazoa; Chordata; Mammalia; Rodentia; Sciuridae
Description: tRNA.Asp
Source: RNAcentral